UGUCUGUUUGGUCAGCUGUGGGAUGAUUGUCCUGAUACCAAGCCAGUACAAAGGGUCAAAUCUGUGGUGUCUCUGUUCUCUAGCAAGUGCUUGGUAUUGUGUAAACAUUUUUCUCGUCUAUGUCCUGUUCUAUAGCUGCACAUGGCUGAUCGAAUAAGACGAGAUGGAGGCCGGGAGAGAAGAGCAUUUCUUUAGGGUCCUGUUGGGCAUGGUGGGUAUGGACAAGCUGAAGACGUGGGCUGCAGUGAACCAUGGGGCCAUCGUGCUCUGUUGUGCGGAUGGGAGUGUGGUAUUAAAGGCCUACUACGCUCCAGAACUACAGACGAUCCAGCACUGUAAAGGAGUGGAAGUUCUGCUGGAAAAACUGGCCUGAUACAGAUACCAUCUCACCAAAAUUGACCCCCACUGAGACAUUUCACCAACUAUUGUGACCUCACCAACUGGAGUCACAGGUUCUCAUAACUGUCCCCCCCCCCCCCCCCCAGUCCUUUGACCUGACCAUCCUGGUGAAAUCCCUACUAUGACAUGAAGAUGGAUGAAAAGAAACACUGAUUUGUACUGCAUUUUGUCAAAUUCAUUUAGGUGUGCUUGUUUGUAAAGCGGUGGAGCAAGUAUUUAAAUGUAAAAGGCACAAAUACUG
Long non-coding RNA from Oncorhynchus kisutch (coho salmon), 640 nucleotides. RefSeq lists it as uncharacterized. The transcript is spliced from 3 exons. NCBI's taxonomy places the organism in Eukaryota, Metazoa, Chordata, Actinopteri, Salmoniformes, Salmonidae. The record is from RefSeq and is a predicted model, not a curated record.